This 253-nucleotide ribosomal RNA is filed under the name uncultured bacterium. Its description in RNAcentral is "partial 16S ribosomal RNA". It matches the Rfam family "Bacterial small subunit ribosomal RNA", at positions 524 to 776 of the family's 1533-position model. The record is from RNAcentral.
UACGAAGGGGGCUAGCGUUGUUCGGAUUUACUGGGCGUAAAGCGCACGUAGGCGGAUUGUUAAGUCAGGGGUGAAAUCCUGGAGCUCAACUCCAGAACUGCCUUUGAUACUGGCAAUCUUGAGUCCGGAAGAGGUGAGUGGAACUCCUAGUGUAGAGGUGAAAUGCGCAGAUAUCAGGAAGAACACCCGUGGCGAAGGCGGCUCUCUGGGACGGUACUGACGCUGAGACGCGAAAGCGUGGGGAGCGAACAGG